CUCCUCUAUCUCAUUUGGUUUUGGAUUCAAUUGCACGGUUCAUCCUAACAUCAAAGAUGAAAAAUGCUCCAACACCAAAUAGCACAAUCUCCAGCCACGCCAGGCCUCAUGAACCCAAACUCAACUUCUCUUCAAAACCCUCCCUUUCCUCAACUACCCCCCUCCCCCACCAGCAGUAGCAACAGCAACCCCCAAAUCUCUUCGCCUCCACCACCAUCGUCAACUCUCCUCCCUCUUCUCCAUAAAGCCUAGUUUCUUCUUCUCCUUAUUCUCCAAGUUCUUCAAAGUCUUCCCAAAUCAUCCCUUUGGCUCUCCAGCUUUGGCGGAUGGCUAUCUACAUUCAUCUCCUUACAAACCCAAUCAAUUCCUCAACCUCUACUCAAAUCCAGUCCUUGUAUCACAGAGAAUCUUGUGUCCCCCCAAGACAAGUUCUACCCACAGAUAAACCCUGAAUGCACUGAGUGUACAACUUUUGG
RNAcentral lists this unclassified non-coding RNA (476 nucleotides) under Hevea brasiliensis (rubber tree). The record is from RNAcentral. Lineage: Eukaryota; Viridiplantae; Streptophyta; Magnoliopsida; Malpighiales; Euphorbiaceae.